AGUGAACGCUGGCGGUAGGCCUAACACAUGCAAGUCGAACGGCAGCACAGGAGAGCUUGCUCUCUGGGUGGCGAGUGGCGGACGGGUGAGGAAUACAUCGGAAUUUACUCUGUCGUGGGGGAUAACGUAGGGAAACUUACGCUAAUACCGCAUACGACCUACGGGUGAAAGCAGGGGACCUUCGGGCCUUGCGCGAUUGAAUGAGCCGGUGUCGGAUUAGCUAGUUGGCGGGGUAAAGGCCCACCAAGGCGACGAUCCGUAGCUGGUCUGAGAGGAUGAUCAGCCACACUGGAACUGAGACACGGUCCAGACUCCUACGGGAGGCAGCAGUGGGGAAUAUUGGACAAUGGGCGCAAGCCUGAUCCAGCCAUACCGCGUGGGUGAAGAAGGCCUUCGGGUUGUAAAGCCCUUUUGUUGGGAAAGAAAUCCAGCUGGCUAAUACCCGGUUGGGACGACGGUACCCAAAGAAUAAGCACCGGCUAACUUCGUGCCAGCCGCCGCGGUAA
RNAcentral lists this ribosomal RNA (506 nucleotides) under uncultured bacterium. Its description in RNAcentral is "partial 16S ribosomal RNA". It matches the Rfam family "Bacterial small subunit ribosomal RNA", at positions 29 to 523 of the family's 1533-position model. The record is from RNAcentral.